UCUUCUUCCUGCUGGCACCAAGUUGUUACCUUAUUGGUACAGAAAUAUUUUACAUAAAUCAAAACUAUAUAUGUGAAAUUCAUGCUGUAAUUCAGGUGGGAUAACAAACAAAAACAAAAAAAAAAUCACCAAAGGGUAAAACCGGAAAUGGAAUUACGUCACUUCCUGUUCGUCAGUUGGUCUCCUGCUUUGAAAUUGAGGCAAUCGUUUUCAGCCGGAUGGUUACCCCCUGUGCUAGUGGAAGAUGUGACUUUGAAGACAGUCAUUGUAAAAGGUGCAAAAGGCUUGUCUAAGAUAAGCUGGCAGUCUACACCGCAUGGCCUGCGUUGCUGACAUUAAGUGAAGUUAAUGCAGAGUUCCUGUGCCUGACAGAUACUUGAGGAAGCAUCUUGGAGGUUGUCAAGGAGAAGGGAGGCGUUGCCAGAAGGAAGGACUGGAGUGGCGAAGUGAUCCAAAGGCAGACUGCACAUCUACGUAUAUGGUUUGCAAGGAACAUCCCGUGCCAGAGACUGUGAUACAAGGCAUGGAGCUGUACAGUGAACUCGGAGCAUCUCUUGUGCAUGUGUGAUGCUGUUUGGACUCGGUUACCGGUAUAUACCCUCAAUCUCAACUCUGUGGAUUUGGAUUUACAAUUUUAAGUAUCCAGAUGAACUGAAAUAUAUGUUCUGGUGAAUUUGGAAAAUAUGCCCAAAAGGUCCAAUCACUAUAAACUACAGUAAAUAUGUUGGACACUGGCAAUCUCAGGUUCUAAGCCAUUGUAUAAAAGGACAAUCCAUCGCAUUUCUAUUAAUACUUUUGUGUGCUGUUCUCUGAUCUGAGUUGAUGAUUUUUUUGUCCUUUUUUGUCUUUUGUCAGCAUGGCAUUGAGUAUCAUUGAGGGGCUUUUUUCUAAACAUUGGCUAUGCAGAUUAAAAGAUGAGCACUAUAAGGAAAGGCGUAAUAACGCCUCAGUAGCACUUCAUGGACACAUUGAUAUCAUAAUUAAAAACAUUUCUCUCCCUCUCCUCCCCCACUUUGAGAAAGAAUCAAAGAGUCAAAAGUGCUCCUGCGGGCAGUUGGUUAAUUCUAAAAUGUCCAUUCACAAAUAACAUCUUUUUCAUGAAUGUCUAAGUAAAUAAGUGAGUAAAUAGACACAUACUGUUCUGAUGAGAGUAUGCUUUUCGGCCAAAGAUAUCUGACUGCAUAUCUGACCCAAGGGAUUAUGACAUUACUUAGAAUUUGAUGGUGGUUGUAAGCAUUCAUGAAAAAGAUGACAUUUCUGAACAGGCCACAUUAAUUAAUGUGUUACAGUACACUGAUAAUUUCAGGUUUUCUGUUUAAUUUCUGUUUAAUCAUACGAUUAUAUUGUCAAGAUUUUGGUGUUUUAUUAUCGUUUGACUGCAUGUUUGUCCAGCUGAUGAAAUAUUAAUAAAAGAAAUGUUUUGAA
Engraulis encrasicolus (European anchovy) is the source of this 1425-nucleotide long non-coding RNA. RefSeq lists it as uncharacterized. The transcript has 5 exons. Lineage: Eukaryota; Metazoa; Chordata; Actinopteri; Clupeiformes; Engraulidae. The record is from RefSeq and is a predicted model, not a curated record.